Podospora aff. communis PSN243 is the source of this 110-nucleotide non-coding RNA. Lineage: Eukaryota; Fungi; Ascomycota; Sordariomycetes; Sordariales; Podosporaceae. The record is from the annotation of a GenBank genome assembly.
GGCGAGAUGGCCGAGCGGUCUAAGGCGCCACGUUAAGGACUUCCUUAAUUACAUCAUGGUUCAUGAUUCCGUGGUCCGAAAGGGCGUGGGUUCGAAUCCCACUCUCGUCA